Molecule: long non-coding RNA, 228 nt
Filed under: Lathyrus oleraceus (garden pea)
Lineage: Eukaryota; Viridiplantae; Streptophyta; Magnoliopsida; Fabales; Fabaceae
Description: Pisum sativum (pea) long non-coding RNA (PSAT_LNC015040)
Source: RNAcentral
UCUCAGUUCACUCUACAAUUUUUAUAUGAUGUUUUUUGAUUUCUGUCUCGACCGGUAUCAACGUCAAAUCCACACCUCACAUAAACAAACAAAUAAUGCCUUAGUAGCACCGCACCAUACAAAACAUAAUAAAAGUAGAAAUAAAAAUUUAAAAACCAAAUCCAAAAUUACUAAAAUAAAAUAAGAAAGUUAAAACUAAAAUUACUAACAAAAUAAAAAAUAAAAUGC